CAGUAGCCACGGUAAUACAGAGGGUGCAAGCGUUAAUCGGAAUUACUGGGCGUAAAGCGCGCGUAGGUGGUUCGCCAAGUUGGAUGUGAAAUCCCCGGGCUCAACCUGGGAACUGCAUCCAAAACUGGCGAGCUAGAGUAUGGUAGAGGGUGGUGGAAUUUCCUGUGUAGCGGUGAAAUGCGUAGAUAUAGGAAGGAACAUCAGUGGCGAAGGCGACCACCUGGACUGAUACUGACACUGAGGUGCGAAAGCGUGGGGAGCAAACAGGAUUAGAUACCCGGGUAGUCCCUGUCUCUUAUAC
This 301-nucleotide ribosomal RNA is filed under the name uncultured bacterium. Its description in RNAcentral is "partial 16S ribosomal RNA". It matches the Rfam family "Bacterial small subunit ribosomal RNA", at positions 509 to 807 of the family's 1533-position model. The record is from RNAcentral.